AGUGAACGCUGGCGGUAGGCCUAACACAUGCAAGUCGAACGGAAGCACAGUAAGAGCUUGCUCUUACGGGUGGCGAGUGGCGGACGGGUGAGGAAUACAUCGGAAUCUACUUUUUCGUGGGGGAUAACGUAGGGAAACUUACGCUAAUACCGCAUACGACCUACGGGUGAAAGCAGGGGAUCUUCGCACCUUGCGCGAUUGAAUGAGCCGAUGUCGGAUUAGCUAGUUGGCGGGGUAAAGGCCCACCAAGGCGACGAUCCGUAGCUGGUCUGAGAGGAUGAUCAGCCACACUGGAACUGAGACACGGUCCAGACUCCUACGGGAGGCAGCAGUGGGGAAUAUUGGACAAUGGGCGCAAGCCUGAUCCAGCCAUACCGCGUGAGUGAAGAAGGCCUUCGGGUUGUAAAGCCCUGUUGUUGGGAAAGAAAAGCAGCAUGUUAAUACCCCGCUGUUCUGACGGUACCCAAAGAAUAAGCACCGGCUAACUUCGUG
RNAcentral lists this ribosomal RNA (492 nucleotides) under uncultured bacterium. RNAcentral describes it as "partial 16S ribosomal RNA". It matches the Rfam family "Bacterial small subunit ribosomal RNA", at positions 29 to 507 of the family's 1533-position model. The record is from RNAcentral.